GUGCGAAGAUUCACCAGUGGAGAGUCCACAUCAGACACACAGUGAAGAUAGUCGUGAUUGUAGUUAUUAAAAUAAUGAUGAUAAUAAUAAUAAUGUUUUCAUGAUGUCAGGAGAUCAGAGCUUCUUCAAAAUGUAGGAAAAACUCUUCUUCAGAUUAAAUGAAUCCUUUAGAAUGUGGAGAACUCAUCAUGGUUCCUCUGAGGUUCCACCGUCUCAGUGAGGUUCAGUCACACUGGACCCGGUUUAGACUGAUGUUGGUCUGGUUUGAAUGGGUUCAGACUGGUUCUACACUGGUUCCAGACUUUAUACUGGGUUUUAGAGUAGUUUUAGACUGGUUAUGGUGUAGUUUUCAGCUGGUUUUGGACCUGGUGUUCGACUGGUUUUGGUUUGGUUUUACCAUAAUUUUACAUUUUUAUGUUUUAGAUUUAUAGACUUAUAACUUGGUCUUAGAUUAGUUUCUGACCUGGUUUAAGACUUUUUGUAAACUGUCUUUUAAAAAACUCAUUUCAGACCUGUUCCUUAACUGUUUUUAUACUGAUUUCAGACUGGUUUUGGUCUGGUUCUACUCUGGUUCUUAGGUUGGUUCUUCUCUGGUUUUGGUCUGGUUCUACUCUGGUUCUUAGGUUGGUUUUACUGUGGUUUUCAUCUGGUUCUACUCUGGUUCUUAGGUUGGUUAAACUCUGGUUUUGGUCUGGUUCUACUCUGGCUCUUAGGUUGGUUCUACUCUGAUCAUUAGGUUGGUUCUACUGUGGUUGUUAGGUUGGUUCUACUCUGGUUGUUAGGCUGGUUCUGCUGUGGUUUUGGUCUUGUUCUGCUCUGGUUGUUAGGUUGGUUCUACUCUGGUUGUUCGGUUGGUUCUACUCUGGCUGUUAGGUUGGUUCUACUCUAGUUGUUAGGUUGGUUCUACUCUGGUUUUGGUCUGGUUCUACUCUGGUUUUGGUCUGGUUCUACUCUGGUUUUUAGGUUGGUUCUACUGUGGUUUGGGUCUGGUUCUACUGAAGCUUUCAUUGAAGAGCUUUCACUCAAACGGCGUGAGGAUGAAAUAAUUCUACUGCUUCUGUGAUCGUCUCUGCAGUUCGAGCUAAACGUUGCGUCGCCAAAAACACUCUUGACGACGACGAAGAGGACGAAGGCGAAGAGUACGACGACAGCUUCAUCAACGACGACAGCGAGGACGUCAGUGACGACUCAGACUACGUCCCUCCAGACUCAGACGACGACGGCAGGGAGGACGUCAAACGGCUGCGGAGAGAAGCUGCGACUUUCCUGAAGAGGAGGAAGUAGAUUCAUGUCGGGUUCAAAGAUCUGAAGCUUCAUUUACAGCUUUGAGUGGAAACACCAACAAGUCAGACGUCUGGAUCCAAACAGCCUCAAAUAUGGGGAAAAUUCAGGGAUAAUCAGCCAGUGCCUGGUUCUGUAUCUCCAGUGAAUUUAUUAAUGAUCAGAGUUCUUCCUUCAGAGUGGGGCUAUAUCCAGAGUUCCAGGUCCUUGCAGUCCAUAGAGGUGGUCCAAGAUAUUAAUAAGUGAUCUUUCCAGUUGUCAGUAGGUCUACUCUAGAACUUUCUCCAGUUGUCAGUAGGUCUACUCUAGAACUUCCUCCAGGGGACGUUUAGUCUCACUUAGAAACACAUCUGAGUUCUGGGAAACAUUACCACCAUUUAGGAUGAUAUUCAAGUCAUUUUGGACAAUCUUUGAGGAAUUUUAAACAUUUUCUUGUCGUUAUGAACACAUUUGGACUUAUUUUGGACAGAUCUGAAAAUGUUUUAAACAAAUUUGUGUGAUUUCUCAUAAGUUUAGUUUUAUUUAAAUACUAUUUUUGAACAAUUUCUGUGUACAUUUCUGUAAGUCUUCAGAGCUGAAUGUUCUAAGUGAGACUAACCUUAAAGACUGGAAGCAGGAAAGGAGAACAUCCCCUGGAGAAAGUUCUAGAAUAGACCUACCGACAACUGUAGAAAGUUCUAGAGUAGACCUACCGACAACUAGAGAAAGUUCUAGAGUAGACCUACCGACAAGUGGAGAAAGUUCUAGAGUAGACCUACGGACAACUCUUAGGAUCACUGAUUAGACCGUCUAAAAGUGGUAAAUCUGUCUCUGAUUUGAGCGUUGAUCUCGACAGAACCAGAACCGAUCAGUUUCUCCGAUCAUGAUAAAGUAACAAUUCAGACUUUUUGUGCCUUUUAUAUGAAGAAACGUUGGCAGGUGAGCUUGUGUUCGGGGACUUUAAACAUGAUCUUUGUGACGAUGAAUGAAAACGUUUGUUCUGUUUGUAUUUUAUCUGAAUUGUAUCUGUCUGCAAAUCUGCUCUUGUGCUUUGAAUACAUCCAGUAAAACAGACCAGUGUCCUGCUGAUGUUUUCCAGAGGCGGCAGAACGUUGAACCAAAUGUCUGUCGAUUAACUGAUGGACAAAAGAUUAUUGGUAAACUAUUUUAAUAUGAUAAAAUGUCCUUUCAUAUGUUUUAAGAAAUCUGAAGCACUUUCUCAGUACAUGUCAAAUAUUUUCUGUUUUUAAUCAACAAACUGGAUUUUUUGUUUGGUCACACAGACUCAGAAAUCUGAAGAUGAUUAUUGAACUUUUCACUGUUUAGUGUCAUUUUAGAGACAAAAUCCAUUAUAGAGAUAAUCAUCAGUGCCAGAAAACAGGAAAAUAGAAUCCCAUUAUUAUAAUCUGUGUUCUUUAACUUGAAUAAUAGGGUUAAAGUUGAAUUUGAAUUGUGAUUUGAAGUUGAAUUUAUGAGAUGGAGCUUGAAUUCAGUCUGAUGAAUCCAAUAUAAACACAAAUGAUUCUGUUUCAGUUCAUGUUUCUGUCUGAAGCCGACCAGACGUCUUCAACCACAAAUUCAGAAUGAUUGAAUUGUGGUGUUUUUGUGUGUCUUUGUUGUUGUUUUUGUGUCCGUUUGUGUUUCUUUACGUGUUUUUGUGUCUCUUUGUGUUGUUUCUGUGUUUCUUUAUGGUGUUUUUGUGUCUCUGUGUUGUUUUUGGGCCUCUGCAUUGUUUUUGU
Long non-coding RNA from Amphiprion ocellaris (clown anemonefish), 2999 nucleotides. Lineage: Eukaryota; Metazoa; Chordata; Actinopteri; Pomacentridae. The record is from Ensembl.